Aotus nancymaae (Ma's night monkey) is the source of this 106-nucleotide small nuclear RNA. Lineage: Eukaryota; Metazoa; Chordata; Mammalia; Primates; Aotidae. The record is from Ensembl.
GUGCUUGUUUUGGCAGCACAUACACUAAAAUUGGAACAGUAUAGAGAAAGUUAUCAUGGCCCUUGCGCAGGAUGAUGCACAAAUUCGUGAAGCAUUCCAUGUUAAA